GCCAGGCGUGGUGGUGCAUGCCUGUAAUCCCAGUGGCUCUGGAAGCUGAGACAGGAGGAUUUAAAGUUCAAAGCCAGCCUCAACAAAGGCCAGGCACUAAACACUCAGUGAGACCCUGUUUCUA
Molecule: small RNA, 124 nt
Filed under: Marmota monax (woodchuck)
Lineage: Eukaryota; Metazoa; Chordata; Mammalia; Rodentia; Sciuridae
Source: RNAcentral